GGAUUAGCCUUCCAGGAGCAGCACCCGGGAACGCUGAAUGGGGUGGGAACAGAUGCCAUGUUUCUUCAGUGUAAACCUUGAAUUCAAUUUCUGUUUUCUAGACUCCAAAGGAAGCAAGUAAUCGAAUAUUAUAAACAAGUGAUAAAAAUAAAGGAAAACGCAGACGCUUUGGCCAACUCCUCACUUGUCAGGAAGCAGCUAAGCAUCAGCCUCAGUGAUACCUUGUGUAAAUUAGCAGGUUAUUUAUUGACAAGUGACUCUUGUCAUCAUGUCAUGAUUGAGGCAAUAGGCUAUUUGUACAGGUCACUUGAUUUAAGGGAGACCUAUCUGGGACCUUCUCAUUCAUCCAUCCAUGGAAUCAUGCACCUUCUGAAGGAAAUUGAGCGGACCCGCAGUAGGAAAUUUUGGCCUCUAGGCAUGUUACAGCAAUCUCCUGAGAGUUCUAAGAAUGGCUCCUUAUUAUGGGAACACCUGCUUAAAUUAGACUACCACAGUGCUCAGAGUUCUAACACAGUAAGCUCCGUGAUGCGCAUCAAUGCAGCUAAGUUAACAAGGGCUAAGAGCUUGCAGUUAGCACCACAUCAGAUUUCGGAUAAAUCAAAGUAUGCUAUAAGGAAAAAGAUCUCCAGUCCCAUUAUUUGUAUUUCUGCUGGGAAAAAGACCCAAGAGAAGGUACAGAAUAAUGUUGAAAUAUGGGAUAGCCCAAGAAAGGAAGCAUCAAAGAAAAAGAAAGAUUAUUCCAUAGAGGUUUUACCUUCGGGUAAAAAGAGUGGCUUAGUAAAGCUUUCAAAGCAGAGGAUUUUGUCUGAUGAAAGUAUGAGUGGUGCAGGCCAUGUCACUACAAUUUACCAUUCUCCCCUACUAGGGCCAUUUACCACAAAUGAUUCCUGGCACUCCAUAUCUGAGCUCAUAUCAGAAAAGUGGCUUUUUCAUAAUCCAGAUUACAACUGGACUCCUCCAAAGAGUAUUUUGAAGAGAAAAUCUCAAGUAGAAACAAAAUCGUUGAAGAACUCAACUAAUAAGGAAUAAAAACAAACCAAAACAAAACAUUGUGGGUUCUUUGUGUAAUCUUUUCCCACUUAAGUACUUUUUUUUUUUAUACCUUUGUUUUAUUUAUUUAUUUUUAUGUGGUACUGAGGAUCGAACCCAGGGCCUCACACAUGCAAGGCAAGUGCUUUACCACUGAGCCACAACCCCAGCCCCUUAAGUACUUUUAAUAUAUAUUUUCUUCUAAGACACUUAGGAGUAAUAAUAAUCAAGGCCUAGAGAUUUGAUUUUUUAAAACCCCUUG
Molecule: long non-coding RNA, 1291 nt
Filed under: Ictidomys tridecemlineatus (thirteen-lined ground squirrel)
Lineage: Eukaryota; Metazoa; Chordata; Mammalia; Rodentia; Sciuridae
Description: lncRNA (ENSSTOG00000029767.1)
Source: RNAcentral